Long non-coding RNA from Caretta caretta (loggerhead turtle), 4826 nucleotides. RefSeq lists it as uncharacterized. The record is from RefSeq and is a predicted model, not a curated record. NCBI's taxonomy places the organism in Eukaryota, Metazoa, Chordata, Testudines, Cheloniidae.
GGGGGGGCUAUGACACCAAGGCUCUAGAUUGGCCACAGGGCUGGUCAGGGGCUCAGGCUGAGCCGGUUGUGAAUGCUGGUGGCAGAGAGCAGUUAGUACUGGCCUGUCAUCACUUUGUGCUCAGCAGGAACGGGUACAGCAAGAUGGCCAGGCGCUCACCCUUUCCCCUCUCAUUGUCCCAUUUGCUCCUCUUCUGGUGAACAACCGUGUGGGAGGAACUCUGGGUGGGCGCCCAAUUGGAUGGGUUCAUGUACAUUGAUCAGGGCACCUGCAAGCACUGUCUUGGAGUGAGCAUCGUGGGUAGUUGCUAAGCAUAGGUUCAACUGUGGUGUAUAGGGACUCUGCGCCCCACCCUACACAGAGGCCACAGAUAUAGCAAGGGCAAAGCCCAUCAUGGCUCUUUUUUGCACUGCAGAGAGGCCCAUGCCUCUUAGCUGCUAAGAGUGUUAUUUAAAGAACUGGACAGAGGAGGCUAUUUGCCAAACAUACGUUUUAUCAGGCCGCCAAAGCCCAGGAACAGUGCUGUGUAGGUGCACAUGUCCGCUACUGGCCUCUGAGCCGUUACCUUCCACUUUACCUGUCUGUGCCCUCCAGCCCAUGCCGCACAACUGCGAGCCAUGCUGAUGCCCAAAGCUGGUUGCCCCGCUGUGCUUUCCCAGCUGCCUUUCACGACCUAACUGGGAUUUAACCCCGCUGUGACCACCGUGCACGAGCGCGACAGCCCAGUGUAGCUGAGGCCUGUGGCACAAGAAAUAAGACCGCGACUUAUGGGCCUGGCGUGGGUGGAAGGCGGUGACCCUCACCCCUGUGGCUGCGGGGCCGUUAACACCAGUGGAUGCGCAGCGUAAACUGCCAUGGCAACACGGGCUGCUAAUCUGGCAGCCGGGGUGGAUGGGGCCAAACGGUGAUGGUGCCACCAUACGCUACCCCGGGCAGGGACCGGAACUAGACCACAGUUUUGAACACGCGCUCGGCCAGGCCUCGUGUACUAGACCCUCACUUGCCACAGCAGGUUCAAGCCUUUGUCAAACUACUUGCACACACAACCCCCCCCCCCAUUUUUUUGUGGGGGACGACGACAAUGUCUUGCCUGUUUCCUUUGCCUCUUCCAGGGGAAAGGCCAUGCCCGAUGAGCACAGGUGACCAGCCUCAGCCCUUCUGUGCUGCACUCCAACUGGCGGGACACACACGGCUUGUUGGACAGGCAUCCAGGCAGGCUCUGUUUCCGCCGACCCUGCAGAUAUGAUCUCAGCAAUGGAGCGCUUACAACACCAUAGAUGUCAGUGGGCCAUGCGCUCACCCUGGCCCGUGCUGGGUCGUUACAGAAUGCGAGCAUGGGUCUAACAAGAGCUGAGUGCGUAGGAGCUAAUCAGGCCGUUUACCCUCGCCUCCCGCUGCCAUUUUCUCAAACCGAUUUGCUGUCGUAAAUUAUUCACUCUGUCCUGUAGCUUGUCCAGCAACCAUUGCGGGCGUGUAUUUGACAUAUGGGGGAGGGGGGAGGUGGGGGCGGGUCUCUUAGUUCAUUCUGAUUGGCCAACCCAGGGAGACACUAGUGUUUGUGGUGUUCCCGCCCUGGAUGAGAAGGGCUUGGGUGCAACUCUUCACAGUUCCCGUUCAAAAAGCCACUGCCUUUGACUAGCCUGCAAUAUUUGAUUGAAAGUGUCUGGCCUGUCAGCAAACGCCUUUGCUAGCAUGGCAUGGAAAGCAGCUGUAAAACACGGUCUAAACAUGGGCAAAGCAAAUGCCUGUUCUGUUUUAAUCGGGGUGACCGGUCGCCUUUGGCGAGAUUUGCUCAGCGCUUGGCCCAUCGAUGGAAGGGAGCCUAAAAUGUGUUAGAAUGAGUCUGGGUCUCUCGUGAUCUUCUUUGCAGUGAUGAUGGGCCCUGGUCAGCUCCAGGAAAAGCCUAGCAUGCAAUUUAUGUCUGUCCACCCCACCAACACCCAUUAUAAAAAACUUUAAGACUGGGCUCAACUGUGCAUUUAAAUGCCAUGGUGCAGCCUGCAAGAGAAGGCUGAAAUUUGCAGUCCCGGAGGGGAACUGGACACACAAUUCCCAGCUGCCUUUCCGUAGCCUCUCCCUGCAGGAGCGUUGAAUAUCUCAGCUGAAAUAGGUGAUUUGGGGAGUUGCAGAAAAGACAAAUAAAGUGGCAUUGUGUGAAGGAGCCAGUCAUGUGACACAUACAAGCUGCUUCACUAAUACAUGGUUUGCAACUAAGCAAACAUGGUCUGGGCUGGCUGAGCAAUGCCGUUUUGUAGCCUGUAACAGCUUAUCAAAGCCAAAUCGCGUGUUUGAAUGGCAGGAUUUACAGGUGCAAUAUGACUGUUUAGUGGCACGUGCAGCCUCCCAUCUCUGCUUGUCCAGUGUGUGUGUCCAUAAACGUAGGGCUACAUUAAUGCCAAGCCACAAUAUGAGAUUGGCACCUUUCAGUAUGCUCUUUUCCGCCCACCCUGGGCCAAGCUAGAUAGGCAAUUAAGGGGAUACUCACUACAUAGCAGGAUAGAAGCAGCAUCAUGUCUCAGCCCAGCUGCUAUCAGGUUCCCUUGAACACGUAGGGUGGUUUAGGGUGACCAGAUGUCCUGAUUUUAUAGGGACAGUCCCGAUAUUUGGGGCUUUUUCUUAUAUAGGCUCCUAUUACCCCACCCCCCCCGUUCCAAUUUUUCACACUUGCUGUCUGGUCACCCUAGGGUGGUUUGUGAGGCAUCCUGGCUCACUCUGGGGUUGGCUCCCGCCUUGGCGUGCGUGCGUGUGUGAACGUCUUAUCCCAGAGUGCUGCUGAAAUGUCUUUGUUGCAUCCACAGGGCCGGAGAGCCGUGGGCUGGGCUAAGAUAAGGACUCUAAUGCGUGUCUCUCUCAGGAGGGGUUUUGGGCCUCAUCCAGUCUCUGUGUUGCUGUCUUAGUUGUCACUUUGCUGUUGUGUGUCUGCUGACAAAUAAACUCUGUUUUUUGUAAAAGGCACCGGAGAGCAGGCCCCCUGCCAGAGGAGACACUCAGCAGCCAGCCAGCAACCGUUGCUAGUCCCUGAGCCUCUGCAGUAUUCAGAUCCAAAACACCACGCGGAGGCAGCUGAGGAUUCUGUUCCAUAUUGAAAUGUAGGAAACCGUCAGACUGAUGCAGUCAUUCACACCUGUGCAACGGAGUGGCUUGGCUGUAACUGUUGGCAUGAUUUGGCCCGCAGAACCUUUAUGAAUGGUGUUUAGAGAAGGAAAAAGUGCAGCUUGGCUGAGAUCCUAGGCUGAGUCUGCAGUUGGAAGAGACCUCUCUCUGUUCACAAAGACUCAGAAAAGCACUUAAGCAUGCGCUUCGUUUUCAUUGAAGCCCAUGGGACUUAAGCACAUACAUAAAGCACUUUCCUAAACAGGGAUGGAUUCAAAUGUGCGUGCGCUUCCCUGGAGUGGCACCAAACUGAGCACAUGGGAUCAAGAAGUCAGAAACAAGCAAACAGUCACUGUUCAGAGCAGGAGGGCUUUCACUCGUGCCUCCCCACACAGGGAGGGAGGGUGCACAAUCUAAAAGGGAGGACACGUGACUGCCCCAUGUAUCUCCUCUGCCCAGUGACCUCUUCCCCGGCCCUGUGCCCAGCCCGGGGCUGCCACCUUCUGCCCGUCCCAUGUUACCUGUCAGGGGGAGGGGCUCUGUCCUCCUCCUACUGCACCUGCCCUGACCCCACUCCCGCUGCAUGGCCAGCCGCUCUCCCUGGCUCAGGCUGUCUGCUCAGGGUCGCUGCUCUGGGCUCCACAGCAGCUGCCUGAGAGAGCCUGGCUGGGGGGGUGGCAGCAGCAACCGGCUCCCUGACUGGGCUCAGCUGCUGGUGACAGGGGCCAAGCAUGCGGGGGUGGGGGGUGCACUCUGGCUUGCUCUGCCCCUGUCCCGGGAGGGAGGGGGAUCACAGAGUCACAGAACUGGAAGGGCCCUCAAGAGGUCAUCUAGUCCAGUCCCCUGCACUCAAGGCAGGAUGAAGUAUUAUCUAGAUCAUCCCUGACAGGUGUUUGUCCAACCUGCUCUUAAAAAUUCCCAAAGAUGGAGAUUCCGCAACCUCCCUACUCAAUUUAUUCCAGUGCUUCACUGCUCUGACAGUUAGGAAGCUUUUCCUAAUGUCCAACCUAAACUGCCCUUGCUGCAAUUUAAGCCCGUUACUUCUUGUCCUAUCCUCAGAGGUUAAGAACAACAAUUUUGCUCUCUCCUCCUUGUAACAAUCUUUUAUGCACUUGAUGGCCCGCUGCUGCGACCUCCCCAGCCAGGCUCUCUCAGGUAGCUGCUGCAACAGAGCAGCGACCCAGUGGCCAAUCCCACCCCUUCCACUCACCGCCUGGGCCUGGCUGCCAUUGUGUGGUGGUGGACGGGGGAGCGGGGGGGAGAAAGACAGGGACACGACAGGACGGACUUGACCCCACAUUCCCUCAGUACGCGUCCCCGAUCUGCAGACGAUAGGUGACUACGACGACAAAAAAACCACACACAACUCUAAAAAACAGGACCAAGAAAUAUGCUUCAUUUUUUCCAAUAGACUUUUUUCUUUUUUAUGAAAAACGGUCACACGGAAUUCUCCAACAAACAUAAUGCAAAAAAAAAAAAAAAAAUUAAAAACAAAAACAGAAAACAAAAGACAAAAACCUGGCUCUCCUUUCCUCUCGAUUGUCUGAAAAAUCCUUGUGUUCCAUAGAAGGCAUUGGGCAGUAAGUGCUUUCUAUUUAACAUUAGCAUAAAAUCUCUCUCUCUCUCUCUCUUUAAAAUUCGCUCACACAAUUUUGCUUCUAUAAGUCCAGUACACUUUGUGUGUGGCUGUUUGUGUGAGCCUGUUCCCAGAUCAUUUACAUUCACAAUCCAAC